Molecule: ribosomal RNA, 553 nt
Filed under: uncultured archaeon
Lineage: Archaea
Description: bacterial SSU rRNA
Rfam family: Archaeal small subunit ribosomal RNA
Source: RNAcentral
CGGGGUGCAGCAGGCGCGAAAACUCUACAAUGCAGGCAACUGCGAUAGGGGGACAUCGAGUGGCAUCCACCUUGGGUGCCUGUCCAACCGUCUAAAAAACGGUUGUUAGCAAGGGCCGGCUAAGACCGGUGCCAGCCGCCGCGGUAAUACCGGCGGCUCGAGUGGUGGCCGAUAUUAUUGAGUCUAAAGGGUCCGUAGCCGGCUUUGCAAGUCCCCUGGGAAAUCCAGCGGCUUAACCGUUGGGCUUUCAUGGGAUACUACAUUGCUUGGGACUGGGAGAGGUAGGAAAUACUCGGGGGGUAGGGGUGAAAUCCUGUAAUCCUCCGGGGACCACCGGUGGCGAAGGCGUCCUACCAGAACAGGUCCGACGGUGAGGGACGAAAGCUAGGGGCACGAACCGGAUUAGAUACCCGGGUAGUCCUAGCCGUAAACGAUGCCCGCUAGGUGUCACGACGGUCGUGAAUCGUCGUGGUGCCGUAGGGAAGCCGCGAAGCGGGCCACUUGGGAAGUACGGCCGCAAGGCUGAAACUUAAAGGAAUUGGCGGGGGAGCAC